UACGGGGGGUGCGAGCGUUGUCCGGAAUCACUGGGCGUAAAGGGCGCGUAGGUGGUCUGAUAAGGGUGUGGUGAAAGCCCGGGGCUCAACCCCGGGUCGGCCGUGCCGACUGUUAGACUAGAGUACUGUAGGGGCAGGCGGAAUUCCGGGUGUAGCGGUGGAAUGCGUAGAGAUCCGGAGGAAGACCGGUGGCGAAGGCGGCCUGCUGGGCAGUUACUGACACUGAGGCGCGACAGCGUGGGGAGCAAACAGG
RNAcentral lists this ribosomal RNA (253 nucleotides) under uncultured bacterium. RNAcentral describes it as "partial 16S ribosomal RNA". It matches the Rfam family "Bacterial small subunit ribosomal RNA", at positions 524 to 776 of the family's 1533-position model. The record is from RNAcentral.